This 1203-nucleotide ribosomal RNA is filed under the name metagenome. RNAcentral describes it as "bacterial SSU rRNA". It matches the Rfam family "Bacterial small subunit ribosomal RNA", at positions 207 to 1398 of the family's 1533-position model. The record is from RNAcentral.
GUGCAAUUGCACCGUCUGGGGAUGAGCCUGCGCUCCAUUAGUUAGUUGGCGGGGUAAGAGCCCACCAAGACGACGAUGGAUAGCCGGCCUGAGAGGGUGUACGGCCACACUGGAACUGAGACACGGUCCAGACUCCUACGGGAGGCAGCAGCUAAGAAUCUUCCGCAAUGGGGGAAACCCUGACGGAGCGACGCCGCGUGGAUGAUGAAGGCCGUAAGGUUGUAAAAUCCUUUUGUCGGUGAAGAAUAAGGGGGGGAGUGGAAAGCCCCUCUGAUGACGUUAGCCGGCGAAUAAGCCCCGGCCAAUUACGUGCCAGCAGCCGCGGUAAUACGUAUGGGGCAAGCGUUGUUCGGAGUUAUUGGGCGUAAAGGGCGUGUAGGCGGCUCAUCAAGUCUGGUGUGAAAUCGCAAGGCUCAACCUUGCAUAUGCGCUGGAAACUGGUGGGCUUGAGUUCUUGAGGGGAAGCUGGAAUUCCAGGUGUAGGGGUGAAAUCUGUAGAUAUCUGGAAGAACACCGGUGGCGAAGGCGAGCUUCUAUCAGAGGACUGACGCUGAGGCGCGAAAGCGUGGGGAGCAAACAGGAUUAUAUACCCUGGUAGUCCACGCUGUAAACGAUGUGCACUAGGCGUGGGGCCCGUACGGGUUCUGUGCCGUAGUUAACGUGAUAAGUGCACCGCCUGGGGAGUAUGCUCGCAAGGGUGAAACUCAAAGGAAUUGACGGGGGCCCGCACAAGCGGUGGAGCAUGUGGUUUAAUUCGAUUGUACACGAGGAACCUUACCAGGGCUUGACAUGUGCGUGAAUGUUCACGAGAGUGGGCAGCCCCGCAAGGGGCGCGCACACAGGUGCUGCAUGGCUGUCGUCAGCUCGUGUCGUGAGAUGUUGGGUUAAGUCCCGCAACGAGCGCAACCCUUACUGCCAGUUGCUACCAGGUUGUGCUGAGCACUCUGGCGGAACUGCCGGUGACAAACCGGAGGAAGGUGGGGAUGACGUCAAGUCAUCAUGGCCCUUAUGUCCUGGGCUACACACGUGCUACAAUGGUCGGUACAAAGCGAAGCGAAACGGCGACGUCAAGCAAAUCGCAGAAAGCCGGUCUCAGUGCGGAUUGGAGUCUGAAACCCGACUCCAUGAAGUUGGAAUCGCUAGUAAUCGCGCAUCAGCAUGGCGCGGUGAAUACGUUCCCGGGCCUUGUACACACCGCCCGUC